AGGUGCGAUCAUACCAGCACUAAUGCACCGGAUCCCAUCAGAACUCCGCAGUUAAGCGUGCAAAAUCCGAAAAUUUCUCCAG
RNAcentral lists this ribosomal RNA (82 nucleotides) under Medicago truncatula (barrel medic). Lineage: Eukaryota; Viridiplantae; Streptophyta; Magnoliopsida; Fabales; Fabaceae. The record is from RNAcentral.